Molecule: ribosomal RNA, 300 nt
Filed under: uncultured Pyrobaculum sp.
Lineage: Archaea; Thermoproteati; Thermoproteota; Thermoprotei; Thermoproteales; Thermoproteaceae
Description: bacterial SSU rRNA
Rfam family: Bacterial small subunit ribosomal RNA
Source: RNAcentral
GGGUAACUCAGCCGCCAAAUGCGGGUAAGUACGGUGGGCGCAGGUUGUAAGCGGAGUUGCCGAGUGGUAAGGGCGGGGAGGCGGAUGGGGAAGGCGAUGUGGAAGUCGACGGGCUCAACGUUGGACUUGCAGUCGGGGCGGCUAUGCGAGACAGGAGGAGGGGGUGGUGGAAGUCCCGGUGUAGCGGUGGAAUGCGUAGAUGUCGGGAGGAACAUCAGUGGCGAAGGCGCCCGCCUGGCCUAACACUGGGGCUGUGGUGCGAAAGCGUGGGUAGCAAACAGGAUUAGAUACCGCGUAGUC